GCUUCAAAGCAACAAAUCAAUUGGAGAUACAAUGGUUUUUCUGCUGAUUCUUACAGACAUUAUCCAAUAUUGCAGCUUCAGUUCCAAGGAUGGAGAGUGACUGAGAUAUUAACUUGAGCAACUAGCCAAUGAGAUUUAUUAGAUUAAAUUCUCUGCCUAUCAGAGCUUUUUGGGGGUGGCAAGGCUAAUAUUACCUUGGGGUUCCUUCUCUUUCUCAACUCUCAACUUUUUAAAUCAACCAUGAACCCUAAUAGUACAGUUGAGAACGUGUACUUCUGAUUGUGAUCUGAAAUCUUCUCUGAUAAGGUUGCCCAUUCCCCUUGCUGAUCUAUAGCUCCUGUGCCUUUCUUUAAAAAAAAAUACUUCUUGUUUGGAUGAUUGUAGAAAAAAGCAUGCACCCUUUUAAAGCUUCAAAUGAUUAAAAACAAAUUAUGCCCACCCUAACCCAAUCAGCAAUUUUUCCUGUAAAAAGGGAAUGGAGAACUGAAGGAGGGAGGGAAGGCUAGAAGUAAGGCUAGUCUCUGAUUUUCAGAGAUUUGAGCAGUGAAGACAACAGGAAACGCCAAAUCGCUGGAUGACUUCUGCAUAGUGUGGCAAUAGAAAUUAUACCCAGCUCAGUGGCUAAGUGUAGAGACUGCAGUGAACUAAGACCAAGAAAAGAAAUAUGGCUGUGAAGACAUGUGCAUGCACAGGGAGAUGGGACAUCCGUAUGAGGAACCUAACAUGGGAACAGCUCUGAACAAUUCCACCUUGUCUUCUACAAGAAAGCCUUCACAUACCUGAAGACAGCUAUCAGAUCUUCCCAGAGUCUUCUCUUCUUUGGGCUAAAGAUAUGCAAUACCGCAAAUAAUUUCUUAUGUGUUGACUCUGAUGCUGCUGGGUGACUCUCCGAAAGAGCAAUUCAGUUGAAGAAGUCAGAAUUCCUGAGGCAAACUUCUUUUGUGGAUGUCAGCCCUUUGAGGUAGUCCAGACAAGAAGCCCCAACCAUAAGUACUAACACUACCUUU
Molecule: RNA transcript, 1007 nt
Organism: Python bivittatus (Burmese python)
Lineage: Eukaryota; Metazoa; Chordata; Lepidosauria; Squamata; Pythonidae
Source: RefSeq, a predicted model, not a curated record